Molecule: ribosomal RNA, 497 nt
Filed under: uncultured soil bacterium
Lineage: Bacteria
Description: bacterial SSU rRNA
Rfam family: Bacterial small subunit ribosomal RNA
Source: RNAcentral
AGAAUGAACGCUGGCGGCGUGCUUUACACAUGCAAGUCGAGCGAGGCGGAAUGGGGGUAACCCCGUUCCAGUCGAGCGGCGAACGGGUGAGUAACGCGUGGAUACCUACCUCGAGGUGGGGGAUAACCCGGGGAAACUCGGGCUAAUACCGCAUAACAUCUACGGAUCAAAGGGGGCGCAAGCUCCCGCCGUGAGAGGGGUCCGCGUCCGAUUAGCUAGUUGGUAGGGUAAUGGCCUACCAAGGCGACGAUCGGUAGCCGGCCUGAGAGGGUGAUCGGCCACACUGGAACUGAGACACGGUCCAGACUCCUACGGGAGGCAGCAGUGGGGAAUUUUGCGCAAUGGGCGAAAGCCUGACGCAGCAACGCCGCGUGGAGGAUGAAGGUCUUCGGAUUGUAAACUCCUGUCAGUAGGGACGAAGGCUUCUGACCUAAUACGUCAGGAGAUUGACGGUACCUGCAGAGGAAGCCCCGGACUAACUCUGUGCCAGCAGCCGC